GGUUGCGGACAUAUCAUAACGAAGAGGUAUCGUAAUUGAAGAGGUUUGGAAAGACCCACCACAGAAGGUAAUAGUCCUGUAUGUUAAACGAGAAGACUUUAGAUAUGAUCCAGAGUACCACGGGACACGUGAAACCCUGUGGGAAGCAGGAGGGACCACCCUCCAAGGCUAAAUACUACCUAGUGACCGAUAGCGUAUAGUACCGUGAGGGAAAGGUGAAAAGAACCCCGGGAGGGGAGUGAAAUAGAACCUGAAACCCUGCACUUACAAGCUGUGGAAGCACAUUUCUUGUGUGACCGCGUACUUUUUGUAGAACGGGCCAACGAGUUACGUUAAGUAGCAAGGUUAAGCACUUAAGGUGCGGAGCCGUAGCGAAAGCGAGUUUUAACUGAGCGUUCAGUUACUUGACGUAGACCCGAAACCGGGCGACCUACCCAUGAGCAGGAUGAAGCGAAAGUAAAAUUUCGUGGAGGUCCGAACCCAUGAGCGUUGAAAAGCUCGGGGAUGACUUGUGGGUAGCGGUGAAAUUCCAAUCGAGCCCGGAGAUAGCUGGUUCUCCCCGAAAUAGCUUUAGGGCUAGCCUCAAGGUGAGAGAUACGGAGGUAGAGCACUGAAUGUCCUAGGGGGUAUUGCACCUACCGAAGACUAUCAAACUCCGAAUGCCGUCAUCUUAUACUUGGGAGUCAGACUGUGGGUGAUAAGAUUCAUAGUCGAAAGGGCAACAGCCCAGAUCGUCAGCUAAGGUCCCUAAAUGUAAGUUAAGUGGUAAAGGAUGUGGGAUUGCACAGACAACCAGGAUGUUGGCUUAGAAGCAGCCACUCAUUCAAAGAGUGCGUAAUAGCUCACUGGUCGAGUGAUCCUGCGCCGAAGAUUUCCGGGGCUAAAACUUACUACCGAAGCUACGGCAUCAGUAAUGAUGGGUAGGGGAGCUUCCCAUACGGGUUGAAGCAUGACCGUAAGGACAUGUGGACAGUAUGGGAGUGAGAAUGUUGGCAUGAGUAGCGAGAUGUGGGUGGGAAUCCCACAGGCCGUAAACCCAAGGUUUCCAGGGGAAGGUUCGUCCGCCCUGGGUUAGUCGGGACCUAAGCUGAGGCCGAAAGGCGUAGGUGAUGGACAACAGGUUGAUAUUCCUGUACUACCGAUAACCGUUUGAGAGAAGGGAUGACACAGUAGGAUAAGCUAAGCACACUGUUGGUUAUGUGUGCCCAAGCAUUGAGGCAGUCAAAGUAGGCAAAUCCGCUUUGAUAAUGCUGGGAUGUGAUGGGGAGCGAAAUUUAGUAGCGAAGUAGCUGAUUUCACACUGUCAAGAAAAGUCUCUAUCGAGGUUAAAGGUACCCGUACCGCAAACCGACACAGGUGGGUGAGGAGAGUAUCCUAAGGCCAGCGAGAGAACUGUUGUUAAGGAACUCGGCAAAAUGACCCCGUAACUUAGGGAUAAGGGGUGCCACCAUCAGGUGGCCGCAGAGAAUAGGCCCAAGCGACUGUUUACCAAAAACAUAGGUUUCUGCUAAGUCGCAAGACGAUGUAUAGGAGCUGACGCCUGCCCGGUGCUGGAAGGUUAAGGGGAUCUGUUAGAGCAAUCGAAGCAGUGAACUUAAGCCCCAGUAAACGGCGGCCGUAACUAUAACGGUCCUAAGGUAGCGAAAUUCCUUGUCGGGUAAGUUCCGACCCGCACGAAAGGCGUAACGAUUUGGGCACUGUCUCAACAACAGACUCGGUGAAAUUGUAAUUCCGGUGAAGAUGCCGGAUACCUGCGACAGGACGGAAAGACCCCAUGGAGCUUUACUGUAGCUUGACAUUGGGUCUUGGUACUACAUGUACAGGAUAGGUGGGAGGCUUUGAAACCAGGACGCCAGUUUUGGCGGAGCCAUCCUUGGGAUACCACCCUUGUAGUACUGGGACUCUAACCA
RNAcentral lists this ribosomal RNA (1910 nucleotides) under Escherichia coli. RNAcentral's name for it is "partial 23S ribosomal RNA". It matches the Rfam family "Bacterial large subunit ribosomal RNA", at positions 296 to 2228 of the family's 2925-position model. The record is from RNAcentral. Lineage: Bacteria; Pseudomonadati; Pseudomonadota; Gammaproteobacteria; Enterobacterales; Enterobacteriaceae.